UUGCUUUGGCAGCAUCUAUGCCAAAAUUAGAACAAUACAGAAAAGACCAGCAUGGCCACUGUGCAAGUACGACAUGCAAAUUCGUGAAGCAUUCCAUAUAUAU
Small nuclear RNA from Ochotona princeps (American pika), 103 nucleotides. The record is from RefSeq and is a predicted model, not a curated record. NCBI's taxonomy places the organism in Eukaryota, Metazoa, Chordata, Mammalia, Lagomorpha, Ochotonidae.